This 497-nucleotide ribosomal RNA is filed under the name uncultured bacterium. RNAcentral's name for it is "partial 16S ribosomal RNA". It matches the Rfam family "Bacterial small subunit ribosomal RNA", at positions 28 to 507 of the family's 1533-position model. The record is from RNAcentral.
GAUGAACGCUGGCGGCGUGCCUAAUACAUGCAAGUCGAGCGAACAGACGAGGAGCUUGCUCCUCUGACGUUAGCGGCGGACGGGUGAGUAACACGUGGAUAACCUACCUAUAAGACUGGGAUAACUUCGGGAAACCGGGGCUAAUACCGGAUAAUAUAUUGAACCGCAUGGUUCAAUAGUGAAAGACGGUUUUGCUGUCACUUAUAGAUGGAUCCGCGCCGCAUUAGCUAGUUGGUAAGGUAACGGCUUACCAAGGCAACGAUGCGUAGCCGACCUGAGAGGGCGAUCGGCCACACUGGAACUGAGACACGGUCCAGACUCCUACGGGAGGCAGCAGUAGGGAAUCUUCCGCAAUGGGCGAAAGCCUGACGGAGCAACGCCGCGUGAGUGAUGAAGGUCUUCGGAUCGUAAAACUCUGUUAUUAGGGAAGAACAAAUGUGUAAGUAACUAUGCACGUCUUGACGGUACCUAAUCAGAAAGCCACGGCUAGCUACGUG